RNAcentral lists this ribosomal RNA (450 nucleotides) under uncultured bacterium. Its description in RNAcentral is "bacterial SSU rRNA". It matches the Rfam family "Bacterial small subunit ribosomal RNA", at positions 354 to 796 of the family's 1533-position model. The record is from RNAcentral.
GUGGGGAAUAUUGGACAAUGGGCGCAAGCCUGAUCCAGCAACGCCGCGUGGAGGAUGAAGGUCUUCGGAUCGUAAACUCCUGUCAGAUGGGACGAAGACUUGAAGGCAAAUAGUUUUCAAGUUUGACGGUACCAUCAGAGGAAGCCCCGGCUAACUCCGUGCCAGCAGCCGCGGUAAUACGGAGGGGGCGAGCGUUAUUCGGAAUUAUUGGGCGUAAAGGGCGCGUAGGCGGCCCGGUAAGUCAAAGGUGAAAUCCCUCGGCUCAACUGAGGAACUGCCUUUGAAACUGUCGGGCUUGAGGCCGGGAGAGGGUAGUGGAAUUCCCAGUGUAGCGGUGAAAUGCGUAGAUAUUGGGAGGAACACCAGUGGCGAAGGCGGCUACCUGGACCGGUUCUGACGCUGAGGCGCGAAAGCGUGGGUAGCAAACAGGAUUAGAUACCCUUGUAGUCC